Molecule: ribosomal RNA, 504 nt
Filed under: uncultured bacterium
Lineage: Bacteria
Description: partial 16S ribosomal RNA
Rfam family: Bacterial small subunit ribosomal RNA
Source: RNAcentral
AAUAAACGCUGGCGGCAUGCCUUACACAUGCAAGUCGAACGGCAGCAUAGAGAGCUUGCUCUCUGAUGGCGAGUGGCGAACGGGUGAGUAAAGCAUCGGAACGUACCGUGUAGUGGGGGAUAACGUAGCGAAAGUUACGCUAAUACCGCAUACGCACUGAGGUGGAAAGCAGGGGAUCGCAAGACCUUGCGCUAUACGAGCGGCCGAUGUCAGAUUAGCUAGUUGGUAGGGUAAAGGCCUACCAAGGCGACGAUCUGUAGCGGGUCUGAGAGGAUGAUCCGCCACACUGGGACUGAGACACGGCCCAGACUCCUACGGGAGGCAGCAGUGGGGAAUUUUGGACAAUGGGGGCAACCCUGAUCCAGCCAUGCCGCGUGAGUGAAGAAGGCCUUCGGGUUGUAAAGCUCUUUCGGCCGGGAAGAAAUCGCACAGGCUAAUACUCUGUGUGGAUGACGGUACCGGCAUAAGAAGCACCGGCUAACUACGUGCCAGCCGCCGCCGUAA